GUGGGGAAUAUUGGACAAUGGGCGAAAGCCUGAUCCAGCCAUGCCGCGUGUGUGAAGAAGGUCUUCGGAUUGUAAAGCACUUUAAGUUGGGAGGAAGGGCAGUAAGUUAAUACCUUGCUGUUUUGACGUUACCGACAGAAUAAGCACCGGCUAACUUCGUGCCAGCAGCCGCGGUAAUACGAAGGGUGCAAGCGUUAAUCGGAAUUACUGGGCGUAAAGCGCGCGUAGGUGGUUUUGUAAGUUGGAGGUGAAAUCCCCGGGCUCAACCUGGGAACUGCCUCCAAAACUGCAUGACUAGAGUACGGUAGAGGGUAGUGGAAUUUCCUGUGUAGCGAUGAAAUGCGUAGAUAUAGGAAGGAACACCAGUGGCGAAGGCGACUACCUGGACUGAUACUGACACUGAGGUGCGAAAGCGUGGGGAGCAAACAGGAUUAGAUACCCCAGUAGUCC
Molecule: ribosomal RNA, 450 nt
Filed under: uncultured bacterium
Lineage: Bacteria
Description: bacterial SSU rRNA
Rfam family: Bacterial small subunit ribosomal RNA
Source: RNAcentral